AAACCAUGGUUGAAACAAGAUUUAUCAUGAGAAGUCAGCAGAGGUCAUAGUACUAGGGCAGUCAUGAAUGCUCUAGGAAGGAC
Geosporobacter subterraneus DSM 17957 is the source of this 83-nucleotide non-coding RNA. The record is from Rfam. Lineage: Bacteria; Bacillati; Bacillota; Clostridia; Peptostreptococcales; Thermotaleaceae.